This 468-nucleotide ribosomal RNA is filed under the name uncultured bacterium. RNAcentral's name for it is "partial 16S ribosomal RNA". It matches the Rfam family "Bacterial small subunit ribosomal RNA", at positions 28 to 507 of the family's 1533-position model. The record is from RNAcentral.
GACGAACGCUGGCGGCGUGCUUAACACAUGCAAGUCGAACGGAAAGGCCCUGCUUUUGUGGGGUGCUCGAGUGGCGAACGGGUGAGUAACACGUGAGUAACCUGCCCUUGACUUUGGGAUAACUUCAGGAAACUGGGGCUAAUACCGGAUAGGAGCUACUGCUGCAUGGUGGGGGUUGGAAAGUUUCGGCGGUUGGGGAUGGACUCGCGGCUUAUCAGCUUGGUGGUGGGGUAGUGGCUUACCAAGGCUUUGACGGGUAGCCGGCCUGAGAGGGUGACCGGCCACAUUGGGACUGAGAUACGGCCCAGACUCCUACGGGAGGCAGCAGUGGGGAAUAUUGCACAAUGGGCGGAAGCCUGAUGCAGCAACGCCGCGUGCGGGAUGACGGCCUUCGGGUUGUAAACCGCUUUCGCCUGUGACGAAGCGUGAGUGACGGUAAUGGGUAAAGAAGCACCGGCUAACUACGUG